This 48-nucleotide ribosomal RNA is filed under the name Calliphora vomitoria. RNAcentral describes it as "partial 5.8S ribosomal RNA". The record is from RNAcentral. Lineage: Eukaryota; Metazoa; Arthropoda; Insecta; Diptera; Calliphoridae.
AUCACUCGGCUCGUGGAUCGAUGAAGAACGCAGCCAACUGUGCGUCAU